Long non-coding RNA from Caretta caretta (loggerhead turtle), 2269 nucleotides. RefSeq lists it as uncharacterized. The record is from RefSeq and is a predicted model, not a curated record. NCBI's taxonomy places the organism in Eukaryota, Metazoa, Chordata, Testudines, Cheloniidae.
CGUGAAUGAUACCCUGGUUUGCACGGAUACCCGGGAAGAGAAUUUGAAAGGACUGGAUAGGAUGUUACCCAGUUUCCUGGAUCUUUUGUUUACAGCGCCUGAAAAAAAAAAAAAAAAGAAAAAGCCCAGUUGUGCACCCAACAAGUGAAUUAACUUGGAGUAAUUUUGGAACAGGAGGGCAUUCCCCUGAUCAACAGACAGUGGAGCUGAUUCUCAGACUUUCCGCUCCCACGGAUGUCACGGCUCUUCGAUAUUUUCUGGAAAUGGUUAAUUUCUCCUGAGAUUUCAUGGAGGGAUUUUCGCGAUCCCUACUGCCUGAAUUGUGAAAGGAGGGAGCAGACUGGGACAGCCCUUUGUGCUGCAGAUGGCAACCACAGAAAGGGGGAGGGAAGCUCUGCUGAGUCAGAGCUAUGGAACCGGGCUCUGCCCUGUGGCUGCUGUCUCCAAAGCUUGAGGUGAAGUAAAGAGGGGAUUCACCCUCUGUGAAAAGGAGGUUUUGGCUCUAGUUUGGGCUUUGCAGCAUAGGCGCCGACUCCGUGGGUGCUCUGGGACUGGAGCACCCAUGGAGAAAACUUGGUGGGUGCUCUGCACCCACCGGCAUCUCCCCGUCCCCCCCAGCUAACCUCCGCCUCUCCCGGCAAGGGUGCUGCUUUCCCCCCCCUCCCUCCCAGCGCUUGCGCUGUAAAACAGCUGUUUCGCGUGGCGGGGAGGAGGGGGAACACAGCGUGAUGGGGGAAGAGGCGGGGCCGGGGCGGGGAUUUGGGGAAGGGUCCAAGAGGGGCAGGGAGGGGGUGGAGUUGGGACGGGGACCUUGGGCAAGGGGUUGGGAUGGGGAUGGGGCAGGGGCGGGGCCAGGGAAGGGUGGGGCUCGAGCACCCACCGGCGCCAGGCAAAGUUGGCACCUAUGCUUUGCAGCACUGGGAAUACUUGGUGGGAUUGCCCCCUGUGUUACUGGAAACUGCCCGCUCCCCAGUGAAAUAGGUAUCCAUUGGCAAGAUCAGGGCUGAUGAAUUUGCUGAGUCCCAAGUAGAUGCUCAAAGCACAGUUAAAGAUGAAAGCGCCCCCUCCUGGGGAAAAAGGGGGAGGGGGAAGAGGGUCUUAUGCCCAAAUAGGUCUAAGUACAAGUAAUACGUUGAGUUAAAUGUUUAAAUUAUAUUUAAAUGUAUGGAUCCCGCUAUAUAGGGAGGGGAGAAGUUUUGUUUUGGUUUGUGUUUUAGAGUCUCAAUUGUGUGGAUGCUGGAAGACCUUGGAGACAAGGCAGCCCUGGGUGCUGCUUUGGCUGGCAUUUGGAUCGCAGGCCUACUCCUCUGAUGGUGUGAAUCCGCAACCUUUUGUGCCCGCUUCGUGGGGAAAACUUCCUGUGGACGGCAGAGGUGUGCAAAGUAAAUAACGAUGUUGACCCUGGUAAUCAGCCCAUGCCUCCUGUCAGUGUUUAACGUCACUGGGACAAAAGUGACCCCACCCAUGACCCACCUCGAGAUGCCACAACCAAGGGCCAUCAGCUGGUGGAAGAAGAAGGAAAAAAACAACGACGACGAUACAGGACUUUGGGACUGCAAAUUGGUGCCACAAGUCCUCCUGUUCUUUUUAUGGAUACAGACUAACACGGCUGCUCCUCUGAAACCUGUAAUACAAGGGUUACUCGAGCAGUGAUAAAUCAAACUCUAUAUAGUAAUAGCGAAGAGGACAAAAUGACUUUAUGCCAAGAAGAAAUGGUCUUGCGGUAAAUCCACUGGUCGAGGCCUCAAGACUCCUGUGUUCUAGCCCUGGCUCUGAGAGGAAAGUGGGGUCUAGUAGGAUCGGGGGUAGCACUGGGAAUCAGGAUCACCCUUCAUUGGUAACAGAGAGAAGCUUUCGAAGCAGAGUCUGUGUGAGCUCCAAAGCUUGGCUCUGUCACCAGCAGAAGUUGACCCAAUAAAAGACAUUCCCUCCCCCACCUUGUCUCUCUCCUAUCCUGGGCCCAACCGGACUCCAAUGACACUGCAAAGAGACGGAGAUGGGACCACCACGGUGCUUUGACAUCAACCGAAUAAACCAGCCUCCAUGUUACACACGUUUCCUACAGAAGCCUGCGGAUUUGGUAGUAACCAACUGAGAUCUGCUUGGAUCUGUGUUAAAUUUUCUUUGAUAGCAUCUCGCUUAACAGAGUGGAGAGAGACCUUUGGUUUUCUACUUAGGAUAACUGGACAAUCACACUGAUGGUCCAUUCCCGCCCUUGGCUAGCUGAUACUUGUAAGUUGUUUUUGUUUAAAGUCUCCAUUUUGUAAUA